CUACAUCACGAGAAACCUCAGACACAUUCCGGCCCUUCCCAGCUCGGAAUUUCAAACAAAGGUGACCGGAUUCAUUGGACGGCGGACACGGCCGGUAGCAUGCUCCAGCACUGGCUGCAGUAUUUAAAUUAAAUCUCCCCAUAAGCCUGCAUAAACAGGAGGGGAAUAGAAAUGUCAUCGUCCUAUCAAAAAAAUUCCACAUCACUCCCUGUCAACUUAGCCUCCUUAAUAAAGGCCUAACAUUUAUCCCAUCGGGCACAACGGGCAUGAAGCGACAGGUGAUACAAACACGAUUCGACCUACAGCAAUACCACAGAAGACUAAAAUUAGCGGCCUAUUUCCAUAAUGACACACAAAAAGAACCACCUCCGUUCACACCUAAAUCUGAUUGGACCCCGCCGACAGAUAAACUACCCGCAGAACUUCUCAAUCUAUUUGAGACGGACCUAAAACUUUUUAAAAAUCAUUUCAGGCCACCCCGAGAAGAACCGAACCUCACUCCGGGGGAGAUUGAUGCUCUCAGGGAACUGCAGAGUAACAAACAGAUCAUUCUAAAACCGGCAGACAAAGGGAGUGCCAUAGUCAUUAUGGAUCGGGAACAAUAUUUAUGGGAGGGGUACAAACAAUUAAAUGACCCUAAAUAUUAUAGGAAAUUGAAAGAACCGAUAUACCUAGACACCAUACCGAUGGUAAAAGAAAUAACACAAAGUCUUUACACAAAAAAAUACAUUAACGCGAAACAAAAAUCCUACCUACUGGGGAAUUUAGAACCGAGGAGCAGGAGGUUUUACAUGCUCCCGAAAAUACAUAAGGACCGAGCAAAAUGGAGCAGGCCCUAUGAAAUUCCCCCAGGAAGACCCAUAGUUUCAGACUGUGGUAGCGAGACCUACUACACGGCCGAAUUCCUUGAUUAUUAUCUAAAUCCCCUUUCCAUGGGCCACCCCAGUUACAUUAAGGAUACGUACGAUUUUGUACACAAGGUGAAAGGACUAAAAAUCCCGCCGAAAGCCAUCCUUUUC
This is a long non-coding RNA of Ictalurus punctatus (channel catfish), 1019 nucleotides long. NCBI's taxonomy places the organism in Eukaryota, Metazoa, Chordata, Actinopteri, Siluriformes, Ictaluridae. The record is from Ensembl.